GAUGAACGCUGACAGAAUGCUUAACACAUGCAAGUCUACUUGAACUUCGGUUUGGGUGGCGGACGGGUGAGUAACGCGUAAAGAACUUGCCUCACAGUUAGGGACAACAUUUGGAAACGAAUGCUAAUACCUGAUAUUAUGAUUUUAGGGCAUCCUAAGAUUAUGAAAGCUAUAUGCACUGUGAGAGAGCUUUGCGUCCCAUUAGCUAGUUGGAGAGGUAACGGCUCACCAAGGCGAUGAUGGGUAGCCGGCCUGAGAGGGUGAACGGCCACAAGGGGACUGAGACACGGCCCUUACUCCUACGGGAGGCAGCAGUGGGGAAUAUUGGACAAUGGACCAAAAGUCUGAUCCAGCAAUUCUGUGUGCACGAUGACGUUUUUCGGAAUGUAAAGUGCUUUCAGUUGGGAAGAAAAAAAUGACGGUACCAACAGAAGAAGUGACGGCUAAAUACGUG
This 454-nucleotide ribosomal RNA is filed under the name uncultured bacterium. Its description in RNAcentral is "partial 16S ribosomal RNA". It matches the Rfam family "Bacterial small subunit ribosomal RNA", at positions 28 to 507 of the family's 1533-position model. The record is from RNAcentral.